GUGUCUGAAAGAACAUUAGCGAGUGCUAGUCCAUUGAGACAGGCCUAGGCAGUACAUGAGCCCUCAGGUGGGUCCUUGUGCUCGUGGUUUGGUCGUGCGUAGGAAAGUACUAUACAUCCAACCUUGCAGGAAUUGGAAAGCUACCUGAGGCAAUGCCAUUAGAACCUAUCAUGUCACAUGUGUAAAGGUUAGGCACCAAGGUACGGAUGGCGACGCCGUGACGAAAGCCAUGGAACUAGAGACAAAUAAAGGUCAAACGAAUGGAAAAAGAAGUAUCACUCCGUUGGUUAUGGACCAACAUAUGCACAAAGGGGUCCCAUGCACAAGUAUCAUGUACGACAACAUACGCACAGAGACGGUCGCAUGCGUAAAGGUGGUAUGAAUCUCAAAUUGGGUCAGGCGCAUAAGGUGCGGGUCACGAUUUGAGUCGGACACCGACAAUCGAGUCUGAAAUUUGUAACUUG
This is a long non-coding RNA of Cucurbita moschata (crookneck pumpkin), 464 nucleotides long. RefSeq lists it as uncharacterized. The record is from RefSeq and is a predicted model, not a curated record. The transcript has 3 exons. NCBI's taxonomy places the organism in Eukaryota, Viridiplantae, Streptophyta, Magnoliopsida, Cucurbitales, Cucurbitaceae.